Molecule: small nucleolar RNA, 112 nt
Filed under: Tursiops truncatus (common bottlenose dolphin)
Lineage: Eukaryota; Metazoa; Chordata; Mammalia; Artiodactyla; Delphinidae
Description: Small nucleolar RNA SNORA63 (ENSTTRG00000025134.1)
Source: RNAcentral
AGGCACUGUUAAUAAUACAGCUGAAAUGUUCUGUUGCUUAAAGCGAUUGGUGCAUAACUGUCUCUGUCUACCAUAAUUCCAUACGAAGACAGAGACACAUGUUCUCAAACAU